RNAcentral lists this transfer RNA (67 nucleotides) under Cantharidae sp. GENSP01. Its description in RNAcentral is "tRNA-Ser". The record is from RNAcentral. Lineage: Eukaryota; Metazoa; Arthropoda; Insecta; Coleoptera; Cantharidae.
GAAAUAUAACUAAGUCAAAAAAAGCUUCUAACUUUUUUUAUAGCAGUGAAAAUCUGUUAAUAUUUCU